Molecule: ribosomal RNA, 346 nt
Filed under: uncultured bacterium
Lineage: Bacteria
Description: partial 16S ribosomal RNA
Rfam family: Bacterial small subunit ribosomal RNA
Source: RNAcentral
CCUACGGGAGGCAGCAGUGAGGAAUAUUGGUCAAUGGCCGUAAGGCUGAACCAGCCAAGUCGCGUGAAGGAAGAAGGAUCUAUGGGUUGUAAACUUCUGUUAUAGGGGAAUAAAGGGAGCCACGUGUGGAGAUUUGCAUGUACCCUAUGAAUAAGCAUCGGCUAACUCCGUGCCAGCAGCCGCGGUAAUACGGAGGAUGCGAGCGUUAUCCGGAUUUAUUGGGUUUAAAGGGUGCGUAGGGUGUCUUGUCAGUCAGCGGUGAAAGUUUGUGGCUCAACCCUAAAAUUGCCGUUGAAACUGGCAGCCUUGAGUGUGUUUGACGUCGGCGGAAUGCGUGGUGUAGCGG